Papaver somniferum (opium poppy) is the source of this 248-nucleotide long non-coding RNA. RefSeq lists it as uncharacterized. Lineage: Eukaryota; Viridiplantae; Streptophyta; Magnoliopsida; Ranunculales; Papaveraceae. The record is from RefSeq and is a predicted model, not a curated record. The transcript is spliced from 3 exons.
GAACACUGGCUCCUGAAAUUUGUAAUCUUUUGUACACGAAGUUGAUAUAGUGUCACUGGGUAGGAGAAAGUUCAGCACAGAUUUUCAGACUGCUAAAGGCGUUGAUGUUCUUUGGAUUUAUAGUGACGCAUUGAUUGAUGAAUGGAGAAUACACAAGAAGCAAGUUAUGGCUUCAUGACCUUGCUGGAAGUGAGAGAUUAGCCAAGCCAGACGUUUAAGGAGAUCCGCUGAAAGAAACUCAAAUUAUU